RNAcentral lists this microRNA precursor (141 nucleotides) under Gossypium hirsutum (cotton). Its description in RNAcentral is "MIR7502 microRNA precursor family". It matches the Rfam family "MIR7502 microRNA precursor family". Lineage: Eukaryota; Viridiplantae; Streptophyta; Magnoliopsida; Malvales; Malvaceae. The record is from Rfam by way of RNAcentral.
UUUAUACACGUUCAUCCAUUUCUAUUGUUUAAAACGGGCGUGGCUGAUGGAAUACCAAACAGUUACACAUGGCAUGCCACAUGUACCUCAUGUCGACAUACGUGGACCAAUUUUUAAUUGUAGAAAUGGAUGAAUUUUAAU